AACGUAGGUGGCAAGCGUUAUCCGGAAUUACUGGGCGUAAAGGGUGUGCAGGCGGGGGAACAAGUGGGGUGUGAAAUCUCCCAGCUUAACUGGGAUAGGUUAUGCCAGACUGUUCUUCUAGAGGACGAGAGAGGGGGGUGGAAUUCCGGGUGUAGUGGUGAAAUGCGUAGAGAUCCGGAGGAACCCCAGAGGCGAAGGCGGCCCCCUGGCUCGUACCUGACGCUCAGCCACGAAAGCAUGGGGAGCGAACGGG
RNAcentral lists this ribosomal RNA (253 nucleotides) under uncultured bacterium. RNAcentral describes it as "partial 16S ribosomal RNA". It matches the Rfam family "Bacterial small subunit ribosomal RNA", at positions 524 to 776 of the family's 1533-position model. The record is from RNAcentral.